Non-coding RNA from Acanthosepion pharaonis, 103 nucleotides. Lineage: Eukaryota; Metazoa; Mollusca; Cephalopoda; Sepiida; Sepiidae. The record is from the annotation of a GenBank genome assembly.
UUACGUUGAAACAAUAGUUCCCAUUCGAUUACAGAAGUUUAGCAACGUUGAGCUUGGCCAGUAAUUAGAUGGGUGACCGCUUGUGAAUACUAGGUGCUGUAAG